Molecule: RNA transcript, 6940 nt
Organism: Gorilla gorilla gorilla (western lowland gorilla)
Lineage: Eukaryota; Metazoa; Chordata; Mammalia; Primates; Hominidae
Gene name: mucin-20
Exons: 6
Source: RefSeq, a predicted model, not a curated record
GCAGGAGAAUCACUUGAACUAGGGAGGUGGAGGUUGCAGUGAGCCGAGAUUGCGCCACUGCACUCCAGCCUGGGCAACAGAGCAAGACUCUGUCUUUAAAAAAAAAAUUAAUUAAUUAAUUAAUUUUAAAAACUACUUACUAUCAUUUAAUACCUAUCAGUGUUCAUAUUUCCCCCACUUGUCAAAAAUAUCUUGUUAUUCAGCAGCAAAGCAGAAGAGAAAAAGAAAAAAAAAGGUCAGAUGUGGUGGCUGAUGCCUGUAGUCCCAGCACUUUGGGAGGCCAAGGUGGGAGGAUCACUGGAGCUCAGGAGUUUGAGACCAGCCUGGGUACAGUAGCGAGACUCAGUCUCUACAAAAAAAAAAUUUGUUUAAAAAUUAGCAAGGUGUGUUGAUGUUCACCUAUAGUCCCAGCUAUUCAGAAGGCUGAAGUGAGAAAAUUGCUUGAGCCCCAGAGGUUGCGGCUGCAGCGAGCUGUGACCAUACCACUGCAUUCCAGUCUGCUGCACCGAGUGAGACCAUGUCUCAAAAAAAAAAAAAAAGAAAGAAAGAAAGAAAGAAAAAUGCCUUUUUACAGCUGGUUUAUUCAAGUCAAGAUCCAAAAAAGAUACGCACAUAUGUUUAACUAGCAUAUUUCGUAAAUGUCUUUAAAUCUAUACCUAGAUCAGUGCCAUUUUUUCAUGUCAUUUAGUUGUUGAACGAACCAGGUACUGUGUCCUGCGGCAUAUCCUACCUUCUGGGUUUGGCUGAUUGCAUCUUUGUGGAUGUCCUUCUGCCUCUGUCUUUCCUGAACUCUGGUAGUUGAGAUCAGGACUGGAGAUUUCUUUGGCAGGAAGAAUCCAUAGGUGGGUACUUCCUAUCGCACCUCGAAGGAGACACAAAGUGUCCAGCUGUCCCACUUUUACUGGUGUUAAACUUCAUCCACCAGAUAGUGCACCCAUUAUAAAAUUCUGUCCACUAAUGAUUUGUGCUGAGAUCCACUUCUCAUUAGGGGCUGCCAAGUAGUGCUUUUCUAUCAUUCUUUCUGCACUUGUUAGCCGAAGGUUCUCUAUCAUGAAGAUAUUUCCCUUGUCAACUAUUUGGCUUGGAUGGAAAGGCUGGAUCAAUGUUUGAUUCUUUAUUUAUCAUUUUCAUAAUAAUGAGCUAGCUCCUCAGCACCCCGGGGGAAGUUGUCUUCAAAUGCUGCUUUGAAGCAUAGAAUAUUUUAUUCUAAUGGAUAUGGGAGGGAAGGGCCUUCCAAGCCGAGGGAACAGCUUGAGCAAAGGCUCAGAGGCAGGAGAAUGCAGGGUGUUUAGAGAACAGCAGAGCUCGGUAGCACGUGCAACAAAAGGCUUUUUGAGUGAGGACCCUGAGCACGAUAUGGUGGGAAAGCAGGGGAGAGGUCAGGAUUGCUGGUUUGACUCCCAGCCACGGGCAAAAGGUUCUCCCCUUGUCUAUACAAUGAGGACAUCUCUCUAGAUCAGUGGCUUUCCAACGUUUCUGGCCCCAGUUUGCUUUAAUAAAUACAUUUUAUACUCUGACCCAGUAAGUGCAUCUGUGUGUAUAAAAACCAACAGAAAUUUCAAAAAGAACUCAAUUGACUUUUACAUACAAUGUAUGUGGGUCUAUUCUAUUCUAUUUCAUGCAGUGUCAUCCUGUUGAAAUAAAUGUUGGUUAUGACCACUGAAUUGAACUCAGUCUCACAAAUUGUCGGCAACCUUAGUCUGGGUGGCUCCUGGGGCUCUAUUUCCACUGCAGCCCUUUCUGGUUGAUCCCUGGUCUUGGUGACAACCUGACGCAGGACCAGGCUCUGGAGAAGAGGGACAACAUGAGAAGAGAAGCUGAUCACUUGCAGGAGGCUCCUGAGCUGAACAUGAGGCAAAAGCCAGGCCAAACUCAGAGGCUGUGGCCCCAGCCAGGCCACCCUCACCUUCAGAGUCUUGACCCCCCAGACCACACUACCAGACACCUGCUGGCCCUGUUUCCACAACAGACUGGCUCAGCCACACCCAGGCCCACAGGGCUCAGAGGCCUGCUCCCUGUAGAUCUUGUCAACUUUGAAAGGCCUUCAAGUUUAUCCCUAAACAAAGCCCUCUAGUUUAGCCCUAAAGAGCCAGGUGUUAACCUAACAGGAAGCAAUUUGGAAGGUCAAAGUCAAGUAGACGGAGAACAGUGUUGAGAGUCCUGGGGUGACAACACCUGGGUCCCCUUCUCACCUGAGCCACAGACUCGCCAGGUAACUGGGCCAGCGUCCCUCCUGCCCAUGCCUUGCUUGCCCCACUCUUAAGGAAGAUGCAUCCCCUUAUCUUGGAGGGAAUGACAAUGACCAGAUCACAACUGAGCUGAGCAAUUUGGGGAAAUUUGGGCAGGGGGUAGAGUUGGCAGAACUGGUUUGUAAAUAGGGCUCCGGAAGACCUUCCUCUAACUGUGGGGAGUGGGGGAGGGGUUUCUCUCCCUCUUAGGCACUCUCUUCUCUGCUGUUUUCUCUAUUUCUCUCUUUGCUGUCACUCCCAUUACCGUCCUCAUCUUAUCUCCUGCUUUUCUCUCCUUCUCUCUCUCUCUUUUUAAUAGCAGCUUUAUUGAGAGAUAAUUUACAUGAUGUGAAAUUUACCCUUUUGUACAAUUCACCAUGUGUACAUUUCAGUGUUUUUUAGUGUAUUCACAGGGUUGCAGAACCAUCACCGCUGUCUUACUUUAUUUUUUUGGUACUUUUUGGUAGAGACAGGGUUUUGCCACGUUGGCCAGGCUAGUCUCAAACUCCUGACCUCAAAUCAUCCGUCCGCCUCGGCCUCUCAAAGUGCUGGGAUUACAGGUGUGAGCCACUGCACCUGGCCACCUCUGUCUAAUUUCAGAACAUGUUUGUUAUGCCCCAAAUAAACUCUGUACCCAUCAGCAGUCACUGCCUAGUCCGCACAUCUCACCAGCCCCUGGCAACACUAAUGUACUUUCUGUCUUGAUGGAUUUGUCUAUUCUAAACAUUUCAUAUAAAUGGAAUCAUACAAUACAUGGCCUUUUGUGAGUGGCUUCUUUCACUUAGCAUGUUUUCAAGUUUCAUUGUUGUUGUGGCAUGCAUCUGUACUUCAUUCCUUUUUAUGGCUGAGUAAUAUUCCAUUAUAUGGAUAUACCAGAUUUAGUUUUAGCCAUUCAUCAGUUGAAGGGCAUUUGAAUUGUUUCUACUAUUUGGCUAUUAUGAAUAACAUUGCUAUGAAUAUUCAUUGAUAGGUUUUUGUGUGAACAUGUGUUUUUAAUUCUCCUAACUACAGGCUCAGAAGUAGGGUUUCUGGGUCAUAUGGCAACUCUAUGUUUACAUUCUGAGAAACUGUCAAAUUGUUUUUCUUUUUUUUCUUUUUUUCUUUUUUUUAUUAUUUUCUGCUGCCACCUCAUCUCCCCAAAUUGAUUUUCAAAGUGGCUGCACCAUUUUGCAAUUCCACCUGCAGUGUAUGAGGGUCCCAAUUUCUCCACACCCUCAGCAACACUUCAACACUUGCUUUUUUUUUUUUUUUUUUUGAGAUGGGGUCUCGCUCUGUCGCCAGGCUGGAGUGCAGUGGCAUGAUCUCAGCUCACUGUGACCUCUGCCUCCUGGGUUCAAGAGAUUCUCGUGCCUCAGCCUCCUGAGUAGCUGGGACUGCAGGUGCAUGCCACCACACCCAGCUAAUUUUUGUAUUUUUAGUAGAGGCGGGGUUUCACUAUGCUGGCCAGGAUGGUCUCAAACUCCUGAACUCAUGAUCCACCUGUCUCGGUGUUCCAAAGUACUGUGACUACAGGUGUGAGCCACUGCACCCAGCCAACACUUGCUAUUUUAUUUUUUAUCUUAGCCGUCCUAAUGGAUGUGGGGUGGUAUCUCAUUGUGGUUUGGAUUUGCAUUUCCUUAUGAUUAAUGAUGUUGAGUAUCUUUCAUGCUCACUGGCCACUUGUGUAUCUUCUUUGGAGAAAUGUCUAUUUAAAUCCUUUGUCCAGUUUUAAAUUUGAUUGACUUAUUUUUAUUUACUUAUUUUUUUUGGAGGCAGAGUCUUGCUCUGUUGCCCAGGCUGGAGUGCAGUUGUGCAAUCUUGGCUCACUGCAACCUCCACCUCCUGGGUUCAAGCAAUUCUCCUGCCUCAGCCUCCUGAGUAGCUGAGACUAUAGGUGCAUGCUACCAAGCGCAGCUAUCUUUUGUAUUUUUAGUAGAGACAGGGGUUUCACCAUGUUGGCCAGGCUGGUCUUGAACUCCUGGCCUCAAGCAAUCUGCCUUCCUUGGUCUCCCAAAGUGCUGGGAUUACAGGCAUGAGCCACCACACCCAGCCAGUUUCAGCUCUUACAUUUAGGUUUAUGGUCCAUUUUGAGUUAAUAUUUGUAUAUGGUGUGAGGUAGGAGUCCAAAUGCAUUAUUUUGCAUGUGCUUAUCCAGUUGUCCAAGCACCAUUUAUUAAAUCUAUCUUUUCUUUUUCUUUUUCUUUUCUUUUUUUUUUUUUUUUUUUUGAGACAGGGUCUUGCUCUGUCACCCAGGCUGAAGUGCACUGGUGUGAUCAUGGCUCACUUCAGCUUCCUGCUUCUGGGCUCAAGUGAUCUCCUGUCUCAGCCUCCAGGGUAGCCGGGACUACAGGCAUGCACCACCAUACCUGGCUAAUUUUAAUCUUUUUUUUUCUUUCUUUCUUUUUUUAACGUUCCUUUUUCUCCAGGCAGCUGUUCCCAACCCCAGAACCUUUGCUGUCUUGGAACAGAUCACCACUGCAAGAGGGGAAGUUGCUACUGUGAUGAAUUCUGCCAUGUGGUACCAGACUGCUACCCAGACCACAGUGUCCUCUACAACCCUCGUAACUCACAUACAGGCCUGAUUCCACCUACAGCAAAGCUGGAUGCUAUGGUUGGCAGAGGCAAACCCUUUGCCUGCACUUCAGGCCAAAGCCGGGAUGUGGCCUAGAUGGUUCCUAAGGUCCCUGACAAUCCUGAGAUCUUGCAUCUUGUCUAUUUCAGGUCAAAGCUUAUCAGAUGACCAAGAUGGUGCUGCAGAUGGUGCUGAGGAUGGAGAACCCACCAAGCCCCGCUAGGAGCCACCUAGACUGGAUGCAGAGCAUGGUUCAGCGAGUUCUCCAAACCAGCCUCCCAGGAAUGCCGUUCUCCAUGGCUGUGAGGGGAAUGAAGAAGAGAGCCUGACUCCUCUCCUGAGGCCCCUUCCCCACCCUGAUCCAGCAGGAUCCACGGAGCAGAGGCCCCAGCACCCGCAGAGCAGACACUGCGAUGACAACGGACGACACAGAAGUGCCCGCUAUGACUCCAGCACCGGGCCACGCUGCUCUGGAAACUCAAACGCUGAGCACUGAGACCUCUUCUAGGGCCUCAACCCCAGCCGGCCCCAUUCCAGAAGCAGAGACCAGGGGAGCCAAGAGAAUUUCCCCUGCAAGAGAGACCAGGAGUUUCACAAAAACAUCUCCCAACUUCAUGGUGCUGAUCGCCACCUCCAUGGAGACAUCAGCCACCAGUGGCAGCCCCGAGGGAGCUGGAAUGACCACAGUUCAGACCAUCACAGGCAGUGAUCCCGAGAAAGCCAUCUUUGACACCCUUUGCACCGAUGACAGCUCUGAAGAGGCAAAGACACUCACAAUGGACAUAUUGACAUUGGCUCACACCUCCACAGAAGCUAAGGGCCUGUCCUCAGAGAGCAGCGCCUCUUCCGAUGGCCCCCAUCCAGUCAUCACCCCGUCACAGGCCUCAGAGAGCGGCGCCUCUUCCGACGGCCCCCAUCCAGUCAUCACCCCAUCAUGGUCCCUGGGAUCUGACGUCACUCUCCUUGCUGAAGCCCUGGUGACCAUCACCCACAUUGAGGUUAUCAAUUGCAGCAUCACAGAAAUAGAAACAACGACUUCCAGCAUCCCUGGGGCCUCAGACACAGAUCACAUCCCCACGGAAGGGGUGAAGGCCUCGUCCACCUCCGAUCCACCAGCUCUGCCUGACUCCACUGAAGCAAAACCACACAUCACUGAGGUCACAGCCUCUGCCGAGACCCUGUCCACAGCCGGCACCACAGAGUCAGCUGCACCUGAUGCCACGGUUGGGACCCCACUCCCCACUAACAGCGCCACAGAAAGAGAAGUGACAGCACCCAGGGCCACGACCCUCAGUGGAGCUCUGGUCACAGUUAGCAGGAAUCGCCUGGAAGAAACCUCAGCCGUCUCUGUUGAGACACCAAGUUACGUGAAAGACUCAGGAGCAGCUCCGGUCUCCAUAGAGGCUGGGUCAGCAGUGGGCAAAACAACUUCCUUUGCUGGGAGCUCUGCUUCCUCCUACAGCCCCUCGGAAGCCGCCCUCAAGAACUUCACCCCUUCAGAGACGCCGACCAUGGACAGCACAACCAAGGGGCCCUUCCCCACCAGCAGGGACCCUCUUCCUUCUGUCCCUCCGACUACAACCAACAGCAGCCGAGGGACGAACAGCACCUUAGCCAAGACCACAACCUCAGCGAAGACCACGAUGAAGCCCCCAACAGCCACGCCCACCACUGCCCGGACGAGGCCGACCACAGACGUGAGUGCAGGUGAAAAUGGAGGUUUCCUCCUCCUGCGGCUGAGUGUGGCUUCCCUGGAAGACCUCACUGACCCCAGAGUGGCAGAAAGCCUGAUGCAGCAGGUGAGUGGGCACUUUCCGGGCCAGGGGAGUAGAGGAAGGGGUGAGGUUCGCAGGGGCUGCAGGGAAGACCCGCAGGACACAGAAAAGCAGCUACCGCACUUGGAAGGGAGUCUCGUUUCUUGUGGAGAAUUAGAUGCUGAAUCUGAGGAUUUCUGCCUGGCUUUGCUUCUGCCUGCCUUCUCCGAGUUCUUCAUUUCCUUCUCUGCAAGGUAAACAUGUGACUCCUGGAGCCCCCAGUUUCUUCUGGUCCUUGGAAGCUUGGCCUUCUGGCCCCUGAGGCAAAGCUCCACCGGGAACUCCACGCCCACGCGCCUCACUUCCAGGUCUCCUUACUGCGUGUCAGGAGAGGCUAACGGACAUCA